GGAGGGAUUGGAAACGAACGACAAUUUCAAUGAUAUCCGUUGAAACACUCCUUGCCUUGUUACGUAAUCACGUUCUGGCGGGAUUGUAACAAAGAUUUUCUCUGACUCAGUUCUUGCAGACGUUGUUAGAGUCUAACUUAGACUUCUGGGUUAGGCCAGAUGUCCGUGGCUUAACUGUAUUCAUACCUGAAAUGCCGUGAAAAUUUUGAAUCGUCAUUCACGAAAGAAUGAAUUUAGGAUUGCUGUGAGGUCAUUUGUGGAGAUGGUUAGAUAUCUGUUCACAAUACGUACCUGGAGUCAUCAGCAACAGGUUGUGCCAGGACCCCGUUAAAUUGGCCAACAAAGACAGAGGGGUAAAUCCAACGAGAACCCGAAUGUU
This is a long non-coding RNA of Halichondria panicea, 379 nucleotides long. RefSeq lists it as uncharacterized. The transcript has 3 exons. NCBI's taxonomy places the organism in Eukaryota, Metazoa, Porifera, Demospongiae, Suberitida, Halichondriidae. The record is from RefSeq and is a predicted model, not a curated record.